GAUGAACGCUGGCGGCGUGCCUAAUACAUGCAAGUCGAGCGAACAGACGAGGAGCUUGCUCCUCUGACGUUAGCGGCGGACGGGUGAGUAACACGUGGAUAGCCUACCUAUAAGACUGGGAUAACUUCGGGAAACCGGAGCUAAUACCGGAUAAUAUAUUGAACCGCAUGGUUCAAUAGUGAAAGACGGUUUUGCUGUCACUUAUAGAUGGAUCCGCGCCGCAUUAGCUAGUUGGUAAGGUAACGGCUUACCAAGGCAACGAUGCGUAGCCGACCUGAGAGGGUGAUCGGCCACACUGGAACUGAGACACGGUCCAGACUCCUACGGGAGGCAGCAGUAGGGAAUCUUCCGCAAUGGGCGAAAGCCUGACGGAGCAACGCCGCGUGAGUGAUGAAGGUCUUCGGAUCGUAAAACUCUGUUAUUAGGGAAGAACAAAUGUGUAAGUAACUAUGCACGUCGUGACGGUACCUAAUCAGAAAGCCACGGCUAACUACG
Molecule: ribosomal RNA, 495 nt
Filed under: uncultured bacterium
Lineage: Bacteria
Description: partial 16S ribosomal RNA
Rfam family: Bacterial small subunit ribosomal RNA
Source: RNAcentral